AUUGAACGCUGGCGGCAUGCCUUACACAUGCAAGUCGAACGGCAGCACGGGAGCAAUCCUGGUGGCGAGUGGCGAACGGGUGAGUAAAGUAUCGGAACGUGCCCAGUCGUGGGGGAUAACGUAGCGAAAGUUACGCUAAUACCGCAUACGAUCUAUGGAUGAAAGCGGGGGAUCGCAAGACCUCGCGCGAUUGGAGCGGCCGAUAUCAGAUUAGGUAGUUGGUGGGGUAAAGGCUCACCAAGCCGGCGAUCUGUAGCUGGUCUGAGAGGACGACCAGCCACACGGGGACUGAGACACGGCCCAGACUCCUACGGGAGGCAGCAGUGGGGAAUUUUGGACAAUGGGCGAAAGCCUGAUCCAGCCAUGCCGCGUGCAGGAUGAAGGCCUUCGGGUUGUAAACUGCUUUUGUACGGAACGAAAAGGUUUGGCCUAAUAAGCUGAGCUCAUGACGGUACCGUAAGAAUAAGCACCGGCUAACUACGUGCCAGCCGCCGCAGUAA
RNAcentral lists this ribosomal RNA (500 nucleotides) under uncultured bacterium. RNAcentral describes it as "partial 16S ribosomal RNA". It matches the Rfam family "Bacterial small subunit ribosomal RNA", at positions 30 to 523 of the family's 1533-position model. The record is from RNAcentral.